AUCCUACAUUUUGGAAGUACUUACUCCUGAGGUAACCCUAUUAAUCCUAAAAAAGACAGAGGGCUUCCACAGGUUCCAGGCAGAAACGGCUUUGCAAACAAAGGGACAUUUGGGAGCAUCCACAGAUUCUGAUCCUGAAUGGUUUUGAUGACAAAGGGAUGCCUCCUGUUGCUGCACCACACAUUGUGCUACUGUCUGGACUUUUCUCUGUGCCCCCUUCCCUGUUAUCUUUAUCAAAUUUGUUGUAUAAUACAGUCUAAAAAGUCACUUUGCAGAACUAAUAUAGUUACUUAUUUUGUACAGCAUAACCUUUUGAGUUAUGUGACACCGGCAACGGUAAAUGGCAGUGAGCCCAGCCCACACAUCAGAGAAGUGUCAGCUCUUAUUUUGAAAAGGGCUUAUUGAGGGGGCGUGACAUCACAUUGAAGCAAUACCCCUGAUUGGCUGACUACACGUGUGGAUCGUAGUCACACACUCUGCGGAAAGAUAGUGCCAAAAAGAUCUGUAGACGUGUGGAGAGGGAUCUGUGAAUGCCCUGUGAUCUGCAAACACAGAUUCAACACUUGCAUGCUGAGCUUUGCACAGAAUGUGUACGAAUGUCUUUUUACAGUGGUUUGAAAAUA
Molecule: long non-coding RNA, 623 nt
Organism: Megalobrama amblycephala (Wuchang bream)
Lineage: Eukaryota; Metazoa; Chordata; Actinopteri; Cypriniformes; Xenocyprididae
Exons: 3
Source: RefSeq, a predicted model, not a curated record